This 1056-nucleotide long non-coding RNA is filed under the name Gadus morhua (Atlantic cod). RNAcentral describes it as "lncRNA (ENSGMOG00000036952.1)". The record is from RNAcentral. Lineage: Eukaryota; Metazoa; Chordata; Actinopteri; Gadiformes; Gadidae.
AUGGGUCUGGCCGCUGCAGGGCCCAACCCGCUGCUGACGGAGUGCUCAGACGAUGUCUGCAAUACCAUACUGAACGCCAGGGCGCCUUCUACCCGGGCGCAGUAUGAGAAUAGGUGGCAGCUAUUUACGGCAUGGUGUUCAGACGGGGCUGAGGACCCUGUGCAUUGUUCAGUUCCAACGAUUUUGGAGUUCCUCCAGUCGCUCCUGGAUGGCGGCCGGGCCCCAGCUACUCUGAGGGUAUACGUGGCAGCCAUCUCCUCAAGACAUGCUCGGGUGGAUAAUGACACAGUGGGGGGCCACAGAUUGGUGUCCCUUUUUCUGAAGGGGGUGUUGCAGUUACGACCCCCACGAGCACAGCGUGCCCCAGCAUGGGAUCUGCACCUGGUGCUCGAUGCUUUAUGCUUGCCUCCUUUUGAACCCCUGGCUCAGGCGGAGCUGAAGUGGGUCUCCACUAAAACUGCCUUUCUCCUCGCCAUCGCGUCAGCGAAGCGCGUCGGGGAGCUUCAUGCUCUGUCCGUGAGUGACUCAUGUCUGAGGUGGAAGUCGGAUGGCUCAGGGGUUACCCUGUGGCCGAAUCCAGCUUUCCUCCCGAAGGUUCUGUCAUCGUCGAACCUCAACCGACCUGUCCGCCUGGCACAAUUUAUCGCCUCGGAAGGGGAGGACAGGUUCAAACUGCUGUGUCCUGUGCGAGCUCUGAGAGCGUACGUAGCUGCGACCGCAGGCAUUAGACGGUCGGACCAGCUCUUCCUCUGCUAUGGUGGUCCUAGGAGGGGCUGUGCUCUCUCCAAACAGCGAUUGUCUCAUUGGGUUGUGGACGUCAUCACCCAUGCAUAUAAAGGAGGUGGUCACCCCCUGCCAUCCGGGGUCAGGUGCCACUCUACCAGGGCUGUCUCAACGUCAUGGGCUGCCCUGCGGGGCGUGCCCCUGGAAGACAUCUGUGAUGCAGCAUCAUGGACAUCACCAUGUACCUUUUCCAGGUUCUACCGGGUGAACGUUGCCACUCCCCAUCCGUUGGCCGUGGUCCUGUCGCCCGACUCUGCUGUUCCCUCUCAAUGA